RNAcentral lists this ribosomal RNA (264 nucleotides) under uncultured bacterium. Its description in RNAcentral is "partial 16S ribosomal RNA". It matches the Rfam family "Bacterial small subunit ribosomal RNA", at positions 1237 to 1500 of the family's 1533-position model. The record is from RNAcentral.
AAACAGAGGGAAGCGAGCCUGCGAGGGGGAGCGAAUCCCAAAAAUAACGUCCCAGUUCGGAUUGUAGUCUGCAACCCGACUACAUGAAGCUGGAAUCGCUAGUAAUCGCGGAUCAGAAUGCCGCGGUGAAUACGUUCCCGGGUCUUGUACACACCGCCCGUCACACCAUGGGAGUCGGAAAUGCCCGAAGUCUGUGACCCAACCUUAGGGAGGGAGCAGCCGAAGGCAGGUCGGAUGACUGGGGUGAAGUCGUAACAAGGUAUC